GGAGAAAUGGCAGAGUGGUCGAUUGCGGCAGUCUUGAAAACUGUUGACUGUUACAGGUCCGGGGGUUCGAAUCCCUCUUUCUCCG
This 85-nucleotide transfer RNA is filed under the name Flavobacterium sp. RNAcentral describes it as "tRNA-Ser". It matches the Rfam family "tRNA". From Rfam's summary of the family: Transfer RNA (tRNA) molecules are approximately 80 nucleotides in length. Their secondary structure includes four short double-helical elements and three loops (D, anti-codon, and T loops). RNAcentral also lists the same sequence under 3 other names. The record is from RNAcentral. Lineage: Bacteria; Pseudomonadati; Bacteroidota; Flavobacteriia; Flavobacteriales; Flavobacteriaceae.